AGUCGAGCGAACAGAUAAGGAGCUUGCUCCUUUGACGUUAGCGGCGGACGGGUGAGUAACACGUGGGUAACCUACCUAUAAGACUGGGAUAACUUCGGGAAACCGGAGCUAAUACCGGAUAACAUUUGGAACCGCAUGGUUCUAAAGUGAAAGAUGGUUUUGCUAUCACUUAUAGAUGGACCCGCGCCGUAUUAGCUAGUUGGUAAGGUAACGGCUUACCAAGGCAACGAUACGUAGCCGACCUGAGAGGGUGAUCGGCCACACUGGAACUGAGACACGGUCCAGACUCCUACGGGAGGCAGCAGUAGGGAAUCUUCCGCAAUGGGCGAAAGCCUGACGGAGCAACGCCGCGUGAGUGAUGAAGGGUUUCGGCUCGUAAAACUCUGUUAUUAGGGAAGAACAAAUGUGUAAGUAACUGUGCACAUCUUGACGGUACCUAAUCAGAAAGCCACGGCUAACUACGUGCCAGCAGCCGCGGUAAUACGUAGGUGGCAAGCGUUAUCCGGAAUUAUUGGGCGUAAAGCGCGCGUAGGCGGUUUCUUAAGUCUGAUGUGAAAGCCCACGGCUCAACCGUGGAGGGUCAUUGGAAACUGGGAAACUUGAGUGCAGAAGAGGAAAGUGGAAUUCCAUGUGUAGCGGUGAAAUGCGCAGAGAUAUGGGAGGAACACCAGUGGCGAAAGCGACUUUCUGGUCUGUAACUGACGCUGAUGUGCGAAAGGUGGGGAUCAAAAAGGAGUAUAUACCCUGGGGUCCACCCAGAAACGACGAAUGUGACAUGUGAGGGGGUACUCCCCCUUCUGCUGCGGCAUA
This 810-nucleotide ribosomal RNA is filed under the name Staphylococcus saprophyticus. RNAcentral's name for it is "bacterial SSU rRNA". It matches the Rfam family "Bacterial small subunit ribosomal RNA", at positions 60 to 855 of the family's 1533-position model. The record is from RNAcentral. Lineage: Bacteria; Bacillati; Bacillota; Bacilli; Caryophanales; Staphylococcaceae.